Molecule: ribosomal RNA, 507 nt
Filed under: uncultured Glomeraceae
Lineage: Eukaryota; Fungi; Glomeromycota; Glomeromycetes; Glomerales; Glomeraceae
Description: SSU rRNA
Rfam family: Eukaryotic small subunit ribosomal RNA
Source: RNAcentral
AGCAGCCGCGGUAAUUCCAGCUCCAAUAGCGUAUAUUAAAGUUGUUGCAGUUAAAAAGCUCGUAGUUGAAUUUCGGGAUCAAUUAAUUGGUCGUGCCUAUGGUACGUACUGAUUUUAUUGGUUUCUCCCUUCUGACGAACCAUGAUGUCAUUAAUUUGGUGUCGUGGAGAAUCAGGACUGUUACUUUGAAAAAUUAGAGUGUUUAAAGCAAGCUAACGCUUGAAUACAUUAGCAUGGAAUAAUGAAAUAGGACGUUUGAUCCUAUUUUGUUGGUUUCUAGGAUCGACGUAAUGAUUAAUAGGGAUAGUUGGGGGCAUUAGUAUUCAAUUGUCAGAGGUGAAAUUCUUGGAUUUAUUGAAGACUAACUACUGCGAAAGCAUUUGCCAAGGAUGUUUUCAUUAAUCAAGAACGAAAGUUAGGGGAUCGAAGACGAUCAGAUACCGUCGUAGUCUUAACCAUAAACUAUGCCGACUAGGGAUCGGAUGAUGUUAAGUUUUUAAUGACUCA